This 71-nucleotide transfer RNA is filed under the name Phrynosoma platyrhinos (Desert horned lizard). RNAcentral's name for it is "tRNA-OTHER". Lineage: Eukaryota; Metazoa; Chordata; Lepidosauria; Squamata; Phrynosomatidae. The record is from RNAcentral.
GCCAAUGUGAUUAGUGGUUUGAGCGUUGGACUAUGACUCUGGAGACCAGGGUUCAAAUCCCAGCUUGGCCA